Harpia harpyja (harpy eagle) is the source of this 254-nucleotide long non-coding RNA. RefSeq lists it as uncharacterized. The transcript has 3 exons. NCBI's taxonomy places the organism in Eukaryota, Metazoa, Chordata, Aves, Accipitriformes, Accipitridae. The record is from RefSeq and is a predicted model, not a curated record.
CCCCGUGACAGCCAGCACUACUGCCAGGACCUGAUACAGAGCUGGGGGCUGCCUGUGGGUGCCAAGCUGUAGCAGAGCGAGCAGAGUCUGGGGCGCUCGUGUUGGCAGAUCAACAUGGUGGAUUUUAUGGCGGAUCUCUACAGCUGAGGGACAACUGUCUGUGAAUUUCCAGGUCAUGUAACCUUGCUCACUCUUGUGGAAAGCCUGAGGACCUUCAGGAGGGGUUUAAAGAAGAGAUUUUCCUCUCCUGUUCA